GUUAUACUCAAAUGAAUUGACGGGGGCCCGCACUAGCGGUGAAGCAUGUGGUCUAAUUAGAAGCAACGCGCAGAACUUUACCUGGCCCUUGACAUCCUACGAACCUUUCAGAGAUGAGAGAGUGCCUUCGGGAACGCAGGGACAGGUGCUGUAUGGCUGUCGUCAACUCGUGUCGUGAGACGUUGGGUUAAGUCCCGUAACGAGCGCAAUCCUUGUCCUUAGUCACCAGCACCUCGGGUGAACACUCUAAGGAGAUUGUUGGUGACAAACCGGAGGAAGGUGGGGAUGACGUCAAGUCAUCAUGGCGCUUACGGCCAGGGCUACACACGUGCUACGAUGGUCGGUACAGAGAGUUGCCAAGCCGCGAGGUGGAGCUAAUCCCAGAAAACCGAUCGUAGUCCGGAUCGCAGUCUGCAACUCGACUGCGUGAAGUCGGAAUCGCUAGUGAUCGCGAAUCAGAAUGUCGCGGUGAAUACGUUCCCG
Molecule: ribosomal RNA, 483 nt
Filed under: uncultured Pseudomonas sp.
Lineage: Bacteria; Pseudomonadati; Pseudomonadota; Gammaproteobacteria; Pseudomonadales; Pseudomonadaceae
Description: bacterial SSU rRNA
Rfam family: Bacterial small subunit ribosomal RNA
Source: RNAcentral